RNAcentral lists this long non-coding RNA (4844 nucleotides) under Sus scrofa (pig). RNAcentral describes it as "lncRNA (ENSSSCG00015043251.1)". The record is from RNAcentral. Lineage: Eukaryota; Metazoa; Chordata; Mammalia; Artiodactyla; Suidae.
GCAACCUACACCACAGCUCAUGGCGACGCCAGAUGCUCAACCCACUGAGCAAGGCCAGGGAUCAAACCCGCAACCUCAUGGUUCCUAGUCGGAUUCGUUAACCACUGCACCACGAUGGGAACUCCAUAUCUUUUGAAGAUAGAGCUUACAGAUUUUCUGAUGGAUUUGGCUGAUGAAUGAAGGAGAAAGUGGUGAAAAUGACUCCAUAUUGUUCCUGCUGUGGCACAGUGGGUUAAGAAUCUGGCUGCAGUGGCUGAAGUCACUAAAGAGGUGUAGGUUCAAUCUCUGGCCCAGCAUUGUGGGUUCUGGCAUUGCCGCCGCAGCAGCUUAGGUCCCAGUUGUGGCAUGGAUUCAAUCCCUUGCAUGGGAACUUCCAUAUGCUAUGGUGCAGCCAUAAAAUUAAAAACAAAAUAAAUAACAAAGAAAGAAAAAAGAAAAGUACUUAUAAAAUCUAUCUGUAUAGAAAAAUAGAAGAAAAUGUGCAAAUCAUAGCCCAAAUAAUUUGGGGUUCAAAUAUCAAAACUAUUGUAAUUAAGUGGUACUUCUUAGGAAAAAAAAAACCUGCAGAAAUACUUUCAAACAAAGGAAACAGAUUAUUAUGAGGUAACUUGUUCAGGCGCAAUUCAGCUCUCCACAGUAAGUGUUGUAUGUUGUAUACAUUUCCAUAGCCUACAAGGACGUUUUGAACACCACCAGGAAUAUAGCCGCUAUUUUCUAAAAUCUGUAAAUCGAGUAUAACCUUUAAAAAUUGUUUACGAAUAAACAAAACAAAACUGUAAAAUAAAUAUGUACUAUACAUAUAUAUGUAUAAAAACCAUUUUUUAUACCCAAGCCAAAAAAUAAAAAUAAAAAAGUCCAGUGUGACCAUCACCUACAAUGAGGAGAGCUGUAGUAGAACAGGUUGGGGGUGAGUGAAUGGGGUACAGCAGUACACCUGAUCAACCAAGCCUCUGUCUUCCUGGGGCUUACAUUCUUGAGUGGGAAAUCAGGGAAUACACACAAAUAUGUGCUUGUUUCAAGAUCCCAGGUUGAUGUGAGGAAGGUGGGAAAGAAGCAGCUCCUCUCUGGCAUCACUUUCUUGGUAAUGCAAGCUUUUGGAGGACUCUGGCAAGACGAUGAACUGAGUGUAUUUUCAUUUUCUCUGCUCCCAAGCUGAUCCAUGCGCCUGUCCUGACGUCAAAGAGUCUGGGCACAGCUGAGAAUGAGAAAAUUCUUCCACUUGCUGAUGACCUAGGGGGAAGAGCUGGAACAAAACAUUUUACACAUAGCUCAGAUAAAACCUGGGGACCCGUAGGAAGCCCUAGAGCAAGGACUGAAAUGUGAAGAGUCCUGGGGAGAACCUAGACCAUAGAGAUCCAAGGAACGCAGUAGAGAAAACAAACAUCGUCCCCAGAUUAGUGUACUUAGUCUUUCCCAUACUAUGGCAUGGAAAAGAAGCUCAUUAGGUGGGCUGAGCUUUCUGACCCUGAGGCUGUGUUCAUUCAGGAAGACCAGGGAUCAGGCCGACUUUGUCCUGGGAUCCCAGUUGGAGACUGGCUACAAGCAUGCUGCUACCUGCUCCAGCCAUGGAGGUGGGGGAUAGUUUACCUUUCUUUGAUGCUACUUAGGACCAGUAGCAAAUUCCAAUAAACACCAGACACACACAAAUACACUUUUAAGGAGGGCCAAUGACCAGAGAAGAGAAAGCUCUGAUCCUCCAUAUCAGGAACAGAGCAAAAUAGAAUUGCUGGAGACAGCCAACAACUUGAACUAGUAAGAACAUUUCAGGAUUUUCACAUGGUAAGAGGCUUGCUUUUGAACAACAACAAAUUAACAGGCAAGUUGAAAAAAAAGGACAGGUGCUGUCAAACUCUGAACUCAUGACCUACAUAGUCAGAUGAAAGAACCACCUGAAAGUACAUAGCAAAACUCAAAGAGAUGGAAGUCAUAAGGGAAAUGAUGAGACGUAUGAAGAAACUAAGAUACAGAUAACAGGAUUUCCACAUAGCAUCAAACAAACAUACAGACAAUAGGCGAUAAUCCCAUACACAACAUAAGGAUGUUUUCUCAAGGUGACAAAAAACCUGAAUCUUUAGAAUAAAAGGGAGGUUGGAUUAAAAAAAAAAUACCUACACAGCCUGAUGAAAUUUAUGAAUUUCAUGGAUAAAGAUGAGAAGAUUCUCCAGAAACAAAAGAGCAAUUUAGCUACCAAGGAAAACACAUCUGUUUGAUAAUUAGACACCUUACGUGAAAGAGUAGAAAAAAGUAGUGGAUGUUGGGAUAGCAUUUGUAUAUACUGAUGAGAAAAGAACUGAUACCUUCAAUCGUACACCGAUAACUUCCAGAUAAGAUGAAGGCAAGAUUUUCACAGCUCUUGAAAUAUUCCGAGGCAUCAUACGACUGAAGAAAUUACUAAAGGAAGGAUUCUGACCAAAUAACAGAGUUAGAACAAAGAUCUCAAAUUUGUAGCAGAUGAAGAGGAAAGAGAGCAAAGGUGAGCUGAUCUUAUAUUUUUUCUACUUCUAUUCUUCUUUUUUGGUCUUUUUUAUCUUUUUGAGGGCCACACCCGCAGCAUAUGGAGGUUCUAAGGUUAGAGCUGUAGCUGCCAGCCUACCCCACAGCACAGCAACGCAAGAUACUUAACCUGUUGAGUGAGAUCAGAGAUGGAACCCACAACCUCAUGGUUACUAGUUGGGUUGGUUAACCACUGAGCCACAAUGGGAACUCCUACUUCUAUUCUUAUCUUUGAUGAUUUUUAGGAGACUUCAACUGAAUUCCCAUAUUUCCUAAACAUCUAAAAUAGUAAGAAUCAUGGAAAAGCCCCUGCAUAAUUUUAUGAAGACACUGACCUAAUAACACAAUCUGACAAACAUAAUUUAGAAAAAAAGAAAAAAUAAAAAAUAAAAAAAAUGAUCUCACAGGAUUCAAACACAGUGUAAGUGUAACUCAGGGCCUAGAUUCUUAAAUACUUUUUUAAACCAAUUAAUUCAGAAGUCAAUAGCAAUUCCAGAUGAUCAACAGACAUAAGUAAAGAUGGUCAAAUUCCCCAUGGUUGGAUAAAUGCAGAAUAGAAUGCACAAAAUAUUACUUUCUAUUCAUUAUAUAAUAUAUACCUCAUCAUAUAUAUAUGAUGAUGUUUAUUUUUUUCAAGGAUACAGACAGAAAGUACAUUCAUACACAACUGAUGGAUGUAAAUUAUUAUGCUUUUGGGGGAAUGUAUUUAGACAACAUUUAUUAAAAAUAUAUAUAAAAAUCACUUUUAACCCAGUAAUGCCACUGCUUGGAAUACCCCCUGUAGCCACUAAAUAGUAAUGCAUAUAAAAGAUAUGCAUUUAAAGAGACGUAUUGCAGACUCUUCAGAGUGAGAAAAAUAGAAACAUUGAAUGUUCAUCAAAGUUGAAAACUUGGCUAAGUUAUGUAAACCAAGGGACAUGAUACUCCAACAAAAGGGGUAAAUUAAGGCUAUACUAGUUUACUAGGAGGCACGUCACAAUAUUUUUUUGAAUGAAAGGCAAGAGUCAAUGUAGUAGGCAUAACAUGGUCCUGUUUUUAUAAAGUAGUGGCAACAUCACCCUAUAUGUUUAUAGGUGAGUGUGUAUAUAUGUAUUCAUAUGAGGAUGCAUGUAGCUGUCCCCAUUUGAUCAUACGGCCCUGAAGACAACACAGAAGGAUACAGAAGUUAUUUACAUAAGUAAACUGGAGAAAUGAAAGAUGUAGAUGAAGAAGUUUGGUGCAGAGCAUUAUAUGUUGUUUAUCUCAGCAAUCUGCACCUUGUCAAUUGGACAAAAAGAAAGAAAAGCCAGUAUUCUCCUCCGGGAGGGCCUGUUAGGUAUAUGGACAGAUUGCAUUGUAAAUUUUGCUAUCAUUUCUUAGAAAGUUCCUGAAUAUCCUUUAUGUGGUGGGUGAGCAGCCAAAAUGAUUAACAAAUGGGCCCCGUGAUUCCUACAUUUGCUUAUUUCCUAAAAGCCAAUCAUGGUUCUACACAGCUUUCACUCUCCAGGGAUUUUGGAAACAUCUAAAUCCUUGUGAUAAAUCUCCUCCUGGUAAGAUUCGUAGGGCGGUUUCCCUUUACUUGACUGAACCAGUUUUCUAUUGUCACAACAACGGAAUAUUACAAAUUAUCUCAAAAGCUAAUAGCUUAAAACAAUAAACAUUUCUUCUUGGUCAUAAGUCCAUAGGUCAGCUGGUUCUUCAGGUCUAUCUCAGAGGAGGCUGAUCUCAAGUGAGCUAAUUCAUAUACCUGAGGUCAGCAGGUGUGUCAGAUGGGGUAGAUGGUCCAGAAUGCUGGUCUAGGGUGACUCAUUUCCAUGUGGUCUUGCUUUAUCUGCUAGGUUGUCUCAGGCUUUUUAUAUGGCAGCGCCAUGAGACCAAGAAAGUAAAAGGAAGCACAGCCUCUUGAGGCCUCAGUAGAAUGUAUACACCAUCCCUUCUGUCAUAUUCUAUUGGUCAAAGUAAGUCACAAGGUCAACUUGGGAUUCAAAGCAGAGGAAACAAAUUCCAUCUAGUGAAGAGAGAGGCUGCAAAGACAUAUUGCAAAGAGUGUGGAUACAGAGAAAAAUGAAGAACUGUGUUUUUCUUAUUAUCAAUUGAUCACUUUGCCCAAAUUUCCUGAUAGGAAGGUAUGGAGGUAGGAUGCAAGAAAUCAAACAUGUAGAAAAAACUCAACAUCUAUGAUAUAAUCAAAUUUAUUUCUAUUAAAUUAUGCAUGCUUACAUAUGUAUGCAUAAAGGAAAACUUUAAAAUAUUUUAAGAGGAAAGAAAAUGUAAAAUCUCUUGGUCCAGGUAGUUUCUGUAUAGAACAGAAGUGUGAAUGCCAUCAUAAAGCAAAGGUUCUAAGGAACGAGUGAGUUUAAAAUUGCAGACAA